This 817-nucleotide long non-coding RNA is filed under the name Canis lupus familiaris (dog). RNAcentral's name for it is "lncRNA (ENSCAFG00845016710.1)". The record is from RNAcentral. Lineage: Eukaryota; Metazoa; Chordata; Mammalia; Carnivora; Canidae.
AUGAGCAUAAAUCUCUACUUCAUGAGUCAGGAAAGAAUUAAAAAAAAAAAAAAAAGACAUGUAGGGCUGACUCAAGGCCAAGAAAAACUUGGGCUUUCUCACUGCAAAUUGAGCAAUCCUCUCCGUGCUCCUCACUCUCCUGACUGGCCUCAUCCAUUCCCUGUCCACAGUUUUUGAAUGCUGGUGAAGUCCAGAGCCAGCAGCCAAGAAGAAUUCUUGAGCCAUCUUUGGUGCAAAAUGUUGGUUUUAUUAAAGCUGGGAUAGGACCCGAGGUAGGGGGGGCAGGAAGAGCUGCUGCCCCAGGGUUGUGAUGGGUGGCUGACUGUAUACUUGGGAGUUGGAAAAGGGGGGUUUUCAAAAGAACUUUCAUAUGCUAAAGAAGGCGUACAGCCAUUGUCAAGUUAAGGCUGUUUUUGCUUCUAGCAAGGCAUUAACAUUAAGACAGUUGGGAGUUUCCUACUGGAAGUUAGGUUAUUGACAAGAAUGCUUUUUUUCUCUUAAAUCAAUAAAACAUUUGUCAAGUGAGCAGGUUAACCAUUUCUUUUUCCUCCCCUCCCGUUUUUCCUCCCCCUCCUCCCUCCAGGGAGCUUUUAGGAUCUCAUUAACUAGAUAAGUCCUUCUAUUAUAUGAUCUCAUAGCAACAUAUACCUUUCCUUAUAAGCACUUACUAUAUUUUUGCAUUUAUUUUGACGAUCAUAUUAUUAAUGUCUCUCUCUGUCUCUCAAGUCUAUGAGGGCAGGAUGGGACUGAUGGGAUCUUUUCCCCCUCUUAACGUUAGAUCCUCUGGCCUCUAGCAUCUGAUACUGAGUAAGUACUC